Molecule: long non-coding RNA, 471 nt
Organism: Nymphalis io (European peacock)
Lineage: Eukaryota; Metazoa; Arthropoda; Insecta; Lepidoptera; Nymphalidae
Exons: 2
Source: RefSeq, a predicted model, not a curated record
GCCCGUUUUUGAAAUGAUGAACAAAGACAGAUUUACUAAUACGAUUAAACAUUGAAUGUUCAUUGGUCGCCUGUUACGUCAUCGGCUGCCAUCGACCAAUGACCGCACAUUAAAUUCGAAUUAGUUAAUCUGAUUUUGAUCAGCACCAGAAACCAGAGUUUGAAUAGUUUGCAAAAUCCGCCUUGAAUCUAUAAACAAUCACGUUUUUGUAUCGAUCUUAUUACUUACAGCUUUUGCGUUUAACCGAAAACUCUGGACGAAAAAUGAACCAGCCCUCCUGUCAUCAGUAGAGGCAAUAAGACCCCCGUCUAAUAUGGCGUGUAUCCUGGUUAUGGUGGCGAUGUCUGCUCCGUACGGAGCAGAGCCUGUACAAAGCGAUUGAGAAGAAACUUAAUUAUUUAAUUAUUAUCAUUUUCUGAUAACAAUCGCCUUUAUUCUUUGAUAAUUAUAAAUAAAUCCAUUUAAAACGUU